RNAcentral lists this unclassified non-coding RNA (329 nucleotides) under soil metagenome. RNAcentral's name for it is "partial contains 5.8S ribosomal RNA, internal transcribed spacer 2, and large subunit ribosomal RNA". The stretch from base 1 to 120 matches the Rfam family "5.8S ribosomal RNA", at positions 35 to 154 of the family's 154-position model. The record is from RNAcentral.
GAUGAAGAACGCAGCGAAAUGCGAUAAGUAAUGUGAAUUGCAGAAUUCAGUGAAUCAUCGAAUCUUUGAACGCACAUUGCGCCCCUUGGUAUUCCGAGGGGCAUGCCUGUUCGAGCGUCAUUAUAACCCCUCAAGCUCAGCUUGGUGUUGGGGCCUGCUGCACUGGCAGCCCUUAAAAUCAGUGGCGGCGCCAUCUGGCUCUAAGCGUAGUAAUUCUUCUCGCUAAGGAGUCCUGGUGGAUGCUUGCCAUCAACCCCCAAUUUUUCUAUGGUUGACCUCGGAUCAGGUAGGGAUACCCGCUGAACUUAAGCAUAUCAAUAAGCGGAGGA